AGAGCGAACGCUGGCGGCAGGCCUAACACAUGCAAGUCGAGCGCCCCGCAAGGGGAGCGGCAGACGGGAGAGUAACACGUGGGAACGUACCCUUCAGUUCGGAACAACCCAGGGAAACUUGGGCUAAUACCGAAUACGUCCGUAAGGAGAAAGAUUUAUCGCUGAAGGAUCGGCCCGCGUCUGAUUAGCUUGUUGGUGAGGUAACGGCUCACCAAGGCGACGAUCAGUAGCUGGUCUGAGAGGAUGAUCAGCCUCACUGGGACUGAGACACGGCCCAGACUCCUACGAGAGGCAGCAGUGGGGAAUAUUGGACAAUGGGCGCAAGCCUGAUCCAGCCAUGCCGCGUGGGUGAUGAAGGCCCUAGGGUUGUAAAGCCCUUUCGGCGGGGAAGAUAAUGACGGUACCCGCAGAAGAAGCCCCGGCUAACUUCGCGCCAGCAGCCGC
Molecule: ribosomal RNA, 444 nt
Filed under: uncultured bacterium
Lineage: Bacteria
Description: SSU rRNA
Rfam family: Bacterial small subunit ribosomal RNA
Source: RNAcentral